This 674-nucleotide long non-coding RNA is filed under the name Phascolarctos cinereus (koala). Its description in RNAcentral is "lncRNA (ENSPCIG00000035619.1)". Lineage: Eukaryota; Metazoa; Chordata; Mammalia; Diprotodontia; Phascolarctidae. The record is from RNAcentral.
UCGCCGCCUGUAGUCAGCCUCCUAAGCCUGCCUCCUUUGGUCCUCGGCACCUCCUCCUUGGCUCAACUAGGGGCCGCCCCGCACCUCCAGCCCCGGCUGGCCCGCUGGGAGCUGCAGAAAUUCGCUGUCUCCCUCUAUCCCACCUGGGAGGUGAGGGGCCAAAGCUAAACAAAAGUGCAUAAAUCUUCUGGCCUGAGGUAGGUUUGAGUUGGCACUGCUUCUAGAUAAGGAGGGUAGGGCCCUCUCUCACUUGCAGAACCUGUUCUCAGUCUCAUUUUUGUGUUUGGGUCCUCUUUGUUACAGCCCCUUUCCCUUGCCCUAGAUUGUGUUGUAAAGCCACUAUAUAUCUGCCCUGGCUCUGCCCUGAUCCUGGGUUGUAGAAGGAACUCCCUCAGCUGACUCCCAAAGAUUCUGUCCCCUUGGCUAACCACCCUGCCUUGACUUUUUAGACUCCUCCUUUGCCCUCGGUCUGGAAGGCUGUUUGGGUUCAUGUCCCUGGAUCAUGCUACUCUUCCUCUGGCCUAUUCUUUCUAUCCUAUCUGGUUUCCUUGGAGCAUGCUUAUUAGGUGAGAAAGCUGAUUUUACCUGAUGGUAUACCUUGACUUCCUUUAUUGGUUCAAAAUUAGUACCUGGGGAGUAGUUAUAAUUAGAUGGCAGAUGCCACCUUCUCCAGC